CGUCACGCGGAGCCGUUGGCGAGCAGGUCCGGCAAGCAGACGCGGCGGCAAGUUCAAGAGCGACGCGGCGACCACGCCCGGGCCAGCCAGCGCCAAGGCCGCGUCCGCAAACUGCUAUAAAUGCCCGGCCCACUGCCGUCCAGGCAUCACUGUCUGCCGAAGCAACAGAUCGACGCACCAUGAAGGCUUUCGUCUGCUCUUUCCUCGUAGUCCUGCUGGUGGCGGCCGUGUUCGCCCAGGAGAAGGCCAAGGAGACCCUGAAGGGCGCCGAGGCCUACUACGCCUACGCCGCCCCCUACGCCUACAGCGCCUUCGGCUACCCCGCCAUCAGCGCCUACUCCGCCUACCCCUAUGGUGCCGUCGGCUACCCCUACUACUACCGCUAAGAAGACAUCAGUUCUGACAUGAUGCCUCCUGUACUGAUUCUUCUGUUUGUCUCUUCCCUCUAAAUACAACUGUAUCACAAAACAAAAA
Long non-coding RNA from Schistocerca cancellata (South American locust), 474 nucleotides. RefSeq lists it as uncharacterized. The record is from RefSeq and is a predicted model, not a curated record. Lineage: Eukaryota; Metazoa; Arthropoda; Insecta; Orthoptera; Acrididae. The transcript is spliced from 2 exons.